UGAUUCUCUUGGUAUCUGCCCACUUC
RNAcentral lists this non-coding RNA (26 nucleotides) under Rattus norvegicus (Norway rat). Lineage: Eukaryota; Metazoa; Chordata; Mammalia; Rodentia; Muridae. The record is from RNAcentral.